GUGGUUGAUCUAGUAGUUAAGAACCAAGAUCUAUUUCGAUCCGUGGAAGAACCUCAAGUUUUCAAUAAGCAAGGCAAGUGGACUUCUCCCUCUGCAUACUCUGUUUGAUCCCAAACAAUACAUUUAAUAAAGUUUAUUCUUUGAUAUAUAUAUAUAUGCAUAAUUUGAUGGGUUACCUAUUUAGAUACCCCUAACCUUUCCAACCUUAUUCCUUGAUCAAACCUGGGUAUUGUACUUUACUUUAGUAGCUAUGUUAUUGCUACAACUUUAAAUUUAUGCAGUCACUCCUGUAUAUGAUGUUAAUGUUCUAAAUGGUAAGAUUACUUUAUUAUUGUUAACCCGAUGGUUAAACAAGAUUAUUGCAUAUUAAUUGGAACAUGGAGUGACCACCCGGGAAAACAGUGCUACCAUGAGAACUAUCAUGGCUCUGGUCUUGGCUAAAUAACUAGGGAAGUCUUAUGUUGGGUGUUGGUCGUGGUCGACCGAAACGGGGGCAUCUGGCAAGCUCUUAUAGUUCCGGCUCAGGCAGAUUGGAUACGGGCAUAGUUCCUAAAGCUUUACCCUGUAGUCUAGACUAUAAGUUGGUUACGGUAGGUGUACCUUAUGCAGGUGACCAUUUCCAGCAUUUGCGUAAUGAGGACUCUAGGGAGAAGCCUCGUAGUGAGACCCUGGCCAUUCACCUCGGAAGUGAAUACGAGUCUAGCUAACCCGGGCUAGAAGGGAAUCGCGACUCAUGGGUAAAGAUGCGCCACCUCUGUAGAGUGUAAAACUGAUAUAACAGCCGUGCUUACGGUUAAGAGCAGCCUGGACUCCUCACAUGAUAAUUGAACUUGAAGAUGGAAAUAAAUCGAGAUCCGAUGAUCUGCCAAUGGUUUUGCUUAAGUGGUUUCACUUAAGUGUUUUUGAUAUACUCUUAUACCUUUGCUUAAUGGGAAUACUUGGGAUUCACACUUAUUAGUAAGACAGGUGUUGUUAAUAAAAUUUUGACCAACUAAAAUGCUUACUGCUCAACCUUAGCCUCACCUUGUUAAACCUACAUUAGUUUUUCCCCCACUUGCUGAGCCCCGACCAUAAGUGAGCUCACCCUUGCUUAAUUUUGAUAAGAAGUUGCAGAUGAAGAUAUGAUGCUGAACUCCAUGGAUGCUAGUCUAGUGAUACCCCCGGUCAUCUUCCUGUGGAUGGAUGUCCUUGUUUCGCUGUACUUUGAUGAAUAAAGGUUAAGACAUUAUGUCUGUUCGAAGUGUAAUAU
Molecule: long non-coding RNA, 1249 nt
Filed under: Zea mays
Lineage: Eukaryota; Viridiplantae; Streptophyta; Magnoliopsida; Poales; Poaceae
Description: long non-coding RNA (ZMAY_LNC004196)
Source: RNAcentral